This is a non-coding RNA of Oryctolagus cuniculus (rabbit), 1979 nucleotides long. The record is from RefSeq and is a predicted model, not a curated record. Lineage: Eukaryota; Metazoa; Chordata; Mammalia; Lagomorpha; Leporidae.
GCUGCGGGGGUCGCCGCGCAGCGCGGGGCCCCGCGGGCGCGAGCGCGAACGGGGCGCACAGGAGAUGCUGAUGACCAGGAGGCACAGGGUCAGCAGCAGGCCGAAGCACACACCCAGCACGAAGUAGAGGCCGAAGCUCUCAGGUGAAAACUCGGGGAAGACGAGCAGGACAAGGUCAGUGAAUCCCAUGGCCUGCAGCUGCCAGCUGUGUGCAAGGCCCUGCUGAGGACCACGUGUGAGCACCACGAAUCCCUGCCGGUGUGGAAGUCGUCACCUUGUGUGGCUGGAUGGAAGCCUGAUGGCGUGGCUGCCUGGGAGACGCCCGCCCACAAGGCUGCAAAUGGAGACGCUGCCCAGGGAAGUGGCAGGCAGAGCCUGAGGGCCAGUACUGGGACAGGUACUGAGUGGGCAGGCUUCACGUGGAGGCUGGCCACCAGGGCAACGUGGAUGGAGGGCGGGCUGAGGCCCGCUCUGGAGCACUGUUUAAGAACCAGGCCUCUUUCUUCUUGGAGAGGAGCCACCCCUCUUGAGGUUGGAUCCUUGCCUGGGAAGGGCUCUGCCCGCAUGGAUUUCUGCUCCUUUGGGACCUGGGCUUGGGCACUGGCUCAUGAACUCUGUGGGUCUGCCGUGCUGGGGGAGGGGCUAGCCUGCUUCUGGCUUCAAUGCUCUGGAUGUGCACUCGCAAAGUCUAAAUUUAGGCAGAGGAAGGAAGGAAAGAAGAAAGGAAGGAAGACCCCGCUUGGCUUCCUAUGGGGCAGGAGGGAAGGGGCGGGUGGUACAGGAAAAGGCCUGGCCUGGCCCUCUCCUGACCCCAGCUGCGCUGGCUGGGCAGGUGGGCAGUCUGGCUAGCUAGAGGGGGGAUCCACAUUCUUCCAGCCACAGUGGCCCUGGUUGCCACAUGCAGCCAAGCAGGAGUCUUGCUUUGGGUACUUGAUGAGGGUUGGGAGCUUGCUGGGAAGUCCUGGCUUCCUCCCAAGGUCAAGACCAGGAGGCUGGUGCCACCUGCUGGCAGGGUGGUGUGCUGGCAGGGCUAGGAGCUAUGGGAACCUGAGCUGGGGACUGCGCUGCCAGGCUGGGAUGGGAGAGGCAGGGAGGGCAAGAACAGACGACACGGCCCAUGGCUCCAGAUCAGGAAGUUUUAUUGCUGACAUGCAGGAAGAGUCCCCAUGUAGUACAAAAAUAUGUCUUUAUACAAACUUUUUUGUGACUUUUUCCAUUUUGUUGUGUCUUUACAACAGGACUUCUCUCAGCGUGUGGCACCCAGCGAGGGCAGACCCAAGCUCUCCUUUGCUUCGCCAGAAUCGUGAUCAGGCCCCUGGGCUGACCGUGGGCGGGCCGGUCUGCCAGGGCUAUGCGGACCCAAGGAUAUUGCUUUGAAGAGGUCAGGAAAGACCACACGUGGGAAUCAGCCCAGGGUGCCUGGGUGGCCCUGGGCAGGGGCUCUGCCGGGACGACCCUGCCUCUGACCCUGGACCGACUGCGCCUGUGCUCCCUUGGGAGACUUUCAUGAAAUAAAUAUAGAAAAGGGGGCAUCCCCACCCCACCGCACCACACCCUGGCUUGCAGCAGCUGACGCUGAGCCGGAGGCAGAGUCUGGCGGGCAGGGAAAGUGCUGGGCUCAGGUGGGCUCCCGAGGGCCCACUGAGGCAGAGGCACGAGGUGCCCAAGUGCUGGAUGGGGGCACGGGGUGGGGGGGGGAAGGGGCAUGGGCGGCCCUGCUACUGCUGGCAAGAGGUGGCCCCAUUUUUUCCAGAUGGGGAAACUGAGGCACAAGGAGGUUUGGGAACUUGCCCAAGGUCACUCACAGUGAGUCAGCUUUUGGGGGGAGGGAGGGAGCUCACAAUCUGGGAAAUUCGGUCACCUAGCCACUGGGGAGCAAGGAAAGGCCAGAGGGGACACUUGGGGGCCCAGGCCCCGUGCACAGGGUAGGUAUCCUGGUGAGAACAGCGUUUCUGGCAAGACGGGCAUCACUUCAGAGU